GUUUUACUGAUGCUUUACAAUCCAGGAUGAGUUGCAAACUAGCAAGGCAUUAGUCCUUUGUGUCAGACAAUCUUCCUCUUUUAGCUGUAGAAGACAACGUCCACACACCACAUCUGUCACAUAACUGAUAACUGUGCAUUUUAGUUGUAUCAUCCCUCAGGAAGCAUGAGUUUGCAGUCUUCGUAGAGCUAUGCCAAGUUCAGUUUC
RNAcentral lists this long non-coding RNA (207 nucleotides) under Anser brachyrhynchus (Pink-footed goose). RNAcentral describes it as "lncRNA (ENSABRG00000017611.1)". Lineage: Eukaryota; Metazoa; Chordata; Aves; Anseriformes; Anatidae. The record is from RNAcentral.